RNAcentral lists this ribosomal RNA (500 nucleotides) under uncultured bacterium. RNAcentral describes it as "partial 16S ribosomal RNA". It matches the Rfam family "Bacterial small subunit ribosomal RNA", at positions 30 to 523 of the family's 1533-position model. The record is from RNAcentral.
AUUGAACGCUGGCGGAAUGCUUUACACAUGCAAGUCGAACGGCAGCACGGACUUCGGUCUGGUGGCGAGUGGCGAACGGGUGAGUAAUGUAUCGGAACGUGCCCAGUCGUGGGGGAUAACGUAGUGAAAAUUACGCUAAUACCGCAUACGAUCUAUGGAUGAAAGCGGGGGAUCGCAAGACCUCGCGGUAUUGGAGGGGCCGAUAUCAGAUUAGGUAGUUGGGGGGGUAAAGGCCCACCAAGCCAACGAUCUGUAGCUGGUCUGAGAGGACGACCAGCCACACUGGAACUGAGACACGGUCCAGACUCCUACGGGAGGCAGCAGUGGGGAAUUUUGGACAAUGGGCGAAAGCCUGAUCCAGCCAUUCCGCGUGCAGGAUGAAGGCCCUCGGGUUGUAAACUGCUUUUGUACAGAACGAAAAGGUUUCUACUAAUACUAGGAGCUCAUGACGGUACUGUAAGAAUAAGCACCGGCUAACUACGUGCCAGCCGCCGCCGUAA